Non-coding RNA from Prunus avium (sweet cherry), 104 nucleotides. The record is from RefSeq and is a predicted model, not a curated record. Lineage: Eukaryota; Viridiplantae; Streptophyta; Magnoliopsida; Rosales; Rosaceae.
AAUUGCUCAAGACAGCCAUUGAAAAGGCUGGAUACACAGGCAAAGUUGUCAUUGGAAUGGAUGUUGUUGCAUCUGAGUUUUAUGGAUAAGAUAAAACCUAUGAC